UGACCUCAAAUCAGGUAGGACUACCCGCUGAACUUAAGCAUAUCAAUAAGCGGAGGAAAAGAAACUAACAAGGAUUCCCCUAGUAACUGCGAGUGAAGAGGGAAAAGCUCAAAUUUAAAAU
Molecule: ribosomal RNA, 121 nt
Filed under: Fuscoporia torulosa
Lineage: Eukaryota; Fungi; Basidiomycota; Agaricomycetes; Hymenochaetales; Hymenochaetaceae
Description: partial 28S ribosomal RNA
Rfam family: Eukaryotic large subunit ribosomal RNA
Source: RNAcentral